UACGUAGGGGGCAAGCGUUGUCCGGAAUUAUUGGGCGUAAAGCGCGCGCAGGCGGUUUGUUAAGUUUGGUGUCUAAGGCUAGGGCUCAACCCCGGUUCGCACUGAAAACUGGCAGACUUGAGUGCAGAAGAGGAAAGUGGAAUUCCACGUGUAGCGGUGAAAUGCGUAGAGAUGUGGAGGAACACCAGUGGCGAAGGCGACUUUCUGGGCUGUAACUGACGCUGAGGCGCGAAAGCGUGGGGAGCAAACAGG
RNAcentral lists this ribosomal RNA (252 nucleotides) under uncultured Paenibacillus sp. RNAcentral's name for it is "partial 16S ribosomal RNA". It matches the Rfam family "Bacterial small subunit ribosomal RNA", at positions 524 to 776 of the family's 1533-position model. The record is from RNAcentral. Lineage: Bacteria; Bacillati; Bacillota; Bacilli; Caryophanales; Paenibacillaceae.